Molecule: ribosomal RNA, 497 nt
Filed under: uncultured bacterium
Lineage: Bacteria
Description: partial 16S ribosomal RNA
Rfam family: Bacterial small subunit ribosomal RNA
Source: RNAcentral
GAUGAACGCUGGCGGCGUGCCUAAUACAUGCAAGUCGAGCGAACAGACGAGGAGCUUGCUCCUCUGACGUUAGCGGCGGACGGGUGAGUAACACGUGGAUAACCUACCUAUAAGACUGGGAUAUCUUCGGGAAACCGGAGCUAAUACCGGAUAAUAUAUUGAACCGCAUGGUUCAAUAGUGAAAGACGGUUUUGCUGUCACUUAUAGAUGGAUCCGCGCCGCAUUAGCUAGUUGGUAAGGUAACGGCUUACCAAGGCAACGAUGCGUAGCCGACCUGAGAGGGUGAUCGGCCACACUGGAACUGAGACACGGUCCAGACUCCUACGGGAGGCAGCAGUAGGGGAUCUUCCGCAAUGGGCGAAAGCCUGACGGAGCAACGCCGCGUGAGUGAUGAAGGUCUUCGGAUCGUAAAACUCUGUUAUUAGGGAAGAACAAAUGUGUAAGUAACUAUGCACGUCUUGACGGUACCUAAUCAGAAAGCCACGGCUAACUACGUG